UUUCCCUAUAUUCAUCUCCAUAGGUCUCCCUGAGACAGAUAUAUUGGAAAACCUGGGAAACAUUCAAUGGAGCAGAGGGAGUAGUGGCAGCCUUCAUCUGCACUGCAGGGGGUCCUCCUCCCAAGACAGCUCCAGGACCUGGCCUCCGUCAGAAACAUGAAUUGGAAAACCUUGGAAACAAUUAAUAUAACAGAGGGUGCCAUGGCGGCCUUCAUCUGCACAGCAGGGAGUCCUCCUCCAAAGAGAGCUCCAGGACAUGGUGAGUGAUUUCUGUGUAGCUCUAAAUGUAGCACUUUCUAAAAGUCCAGAUCACAAAUCGAGCAAUGGGAGACACUUCGGGAAAUAAUGGGGCUUUAUCCUAAGGAAACAGCAUCGUGGCAGGGAGAAUUGGAGAGAAAUACUGCACUCUAGGGGUUCCUCUAUCUUAUGCCAAUUGU
Molecule: long non-coding RNA, 437 nt
Organism: Sarcophilus harrisii (Tasmanian devil)
Lineage: Eukaryota; Metazoa; Chordata; Mammalia; Dasyuromorphia; Dasyuridae
Exons: 4
Source: RefSeq, a predicted model, not a curated record